This 23-nucleotide non-coding RNA is filed under the name Cricetulus griseus (Chinese hamster). The record is from RNAcentral. Lineage: Eukaryota; Metazoa; Chordata; Mammalia; Rodentia; Cricetidae.
UACCGGAACGUGGAGUGAGGACC